This 406-nucleotide ribosomal RNA is filed under the name uncultured bacterium. RNAcentral describes it as "partial 16S ribosomal RNA". It matches the Rfam family "Bacterial small subunit ribosomal RNA", at positions 30 to 526 of the family's 1533-position model. The record is from RNAcentral.
AUUGAACGCUGGCGGCAGGCUUAACACAUGCAAGUCGAGCGAGCGGCGGACGGGCGAGUAAUGUCUGGGAAACUGCAUGAUGGAGGGGGAUAACUACUGGAAACGGUAGCUAAUACCGCAUACCAUCAGAUGUGCUCAGAGGGGAUUAGCUAGUAGGUGGGGUAAUGGCUCACCUAGGCGACGCUCCCUAGCUGGUCUGAGAGGAUGACCAGCCACACUGGAACUGAGACACGGUCCAGACUCCUACGGGAGGCAGCAGUGGGGAAUAUUGCACAAUGGGCGCAAGCCUGAUGCAGCCAUGCCGCGUGUGUGAAGAAGGCCUUCGGGUUGUAAAGCACUUUCAGCGAGGAGGCGUUACUCACAGAAGAAGCACCGGCUAACUCCGUGCCAGCCGCCGCGGUAAUUC